CUCCAGAUAGCCUAGUGGUUUAGGCUAUGGAUCGUCAAUCCGGAGACGGCGGGUUCGUUUCCUUUUCUGGACG
This is a non-coding RNA of Aedes albopictus (Asian tiger mosquito), 73 nucleotides long. Lineage: Eukaryota; Metazoa; Arthropoda; Insecta; Diptera; Culicidae. The record is from Rfam.